Molecule: non-coding RNA, 627 nt
Organism: Pelobates cultripes (western spadefoot toad)
Lineage: Eukaryota; Metazoa; Chordata; Amphibia; Anura; Pelobatidae
Source: the annotation of a GenBank genome assembly
AUUCGUUUCACGAACAGUGUUGAAAUUCAUGCCGCCAGCAUACGAAUGCUCUUGUUCGCCUGAAAUGCAGAUACAUGAAUACACUUGGUUCUAACAACCUUAAAGCUAUAGAAACACAUUUAUACAAAUACAGUCUUAAGUGGCUAGUUUUGCCACAGUAGUAUAUGAGUACGGAGAGACACUUUGUAUGAAAGGAGUAGUAUAUAAAUACGGAGGGACACUGUGUAUGAAAGUAGUGGUAUAUGAGUACAGAGGAACACUGUGUAUGAAAGGAAGGGUAUAUGAGUAUGGAGGGACACUUUGUAUGAAAUGAGUAGUAUAUAAAUACGGAGGGACACUGUGUAUGAAAGUAGUGGUAUAUGAGUACAGAGGACUGUGUAUGAAAGGAAGGGUAUAUGAGUAUGGAGGGACACUUUGUAUGCAAGGAGGGGUGUAUGAGUACGGAGGAACACUGUGGAUGAAAGGAGUAGUAUAGGAGUACGGAGGGACACUGUGAAUCUGAAGGGGAAGGAGUCACCAUGCCUGCUGGUCCCACUGAUUUUCAUUGCGAUUGCUGCACUUUAAGUAAUUUGGAACACUUUGAUAACUCUCCCCAAUUGGGAGCCAAUAGAUGCUGGUGGUACAUCC